This is a non-coding RNA of Acanthosepion pharaonis, 111 nucleotides long. NCBI's taxonomy places the organism in Eukaryota, Metazoa, Mollusca, Cephalopoda, Sepiida, Sepiidae. The record is from the annotation of a GenBank genome assembly.
UUACGUCCAUAUGACGUUGUAACACCGGUUCACAUCCGAUCAUCAAAGUUAAGCAAGGUUGAACCUGGUCAGUACCUAGAUGUGUGACCGCUCUGGAAUACCAGAUGAUGU